GGCGGGGGCGCGGCCGCAUAAAGGGCCCCGCGCAGGGCCCGGCCCCGCAUCGGCCCCGCACCGCCGCACGGAACGGACCGGACCGGAACGGAGCGGCCUGGCCUGGCCUGCAGUUCAAGAUGUCUAAAAAAAUCCAUGGAGGCUCCGUUGUGGAGAUGCAAGGAGAUGAAAUGACACGGGUCAUCUGGGAACUGAUUAAAGAAAAGCUGAUUUUUCCUUAUGUAGAUCUGGAUUUGCACAGCUAUGAUUUGGGCAUUGAGCAUCGUGAUGCUACAAGUGAUAAAGUAACUAUGGAAGCUGCUGAAGCCAUAAAGAAAUACAACGUUGGCAUAAAGUGUGCAACCAUCACUCCUGAUGAGAAGAGAGUGGAGGAGUUCAAGUUGAAGCAGAUGUGGAAGUCUCCCAAUGGCACAAUUAGAAACAUCCUAGGUGGCACUGUCUUCAGAGAGGCUAUUAUCUGCAAGAACAUUCCCCGGCUGGUGUCUGGAUGGGUGAAACCCAUUGUCAUCGGCCGUCACGCUUAUGGAGAUCAAUACAGAGCAACCGAUUUUGUGGUACCUGGGCCUGGAAAAGUAGAGAUGACCUACACUCCCACAGAUGGAGGCAAACCAGUCACAUAUCUGGUCCAUAAUUUUGAAAGUUGUGGUGGUGUAGCCAUGGGAAUGUACAAUCUUGACCAGUCUAUCAAGGAUUUUGCCCACAGUUCCUUCCAAAUGGCACUGUCUAAAGGCUGGCCCCUCUACAUGAGCACCAAAAACACCAUUCUGAAGAGAUACGAUGGCCGCUUCAAAGACAUCUUCCAAGACAUCUAUGACAGAGAAUACAAGUCCGAGUUUGAAGCCAAAAAGAUCUGGUAUGAGCACAGGCUCAUUGAUGACAUGGUUGCUCAGGCCCUGAAAUCUGAAGGAGGUUUUGUCUGGGCCUGCAAGAACUAUGAUGGGGAUGUGCAGUCUGACUCUGUUGCACAAGGCUAUGGCUCUCUGGGGAUGAUGACCAGUGUGCUGAUCUGCCCUGAUGGCAAGACUGUUGAAGCAGAAGCUGCUCACGGGACAGUUACUCGUCACUACCGCAUGCACCAGAAAGGCCAGGAAACCUCCACUAACCCCAUUGCCUCCAUCUUCGCAUGGACAAGAGGCCUCGCUCACAGAGCUAAGCUGGACAACAACACUAGCCUCGGGAACUUUGCAGCUGCCCUGGAAGAAGUUUGCAUUGAGACCAUUGAAUCUGGUUUCAUGACAAAGGACCUUGCUGCCUGCAUCAAAGGUCUGCCUAAUGUCACACGCUCUGAUUACCUGAACACCUUUGAGUUCAUGGACAAGCUUGCUGAAAACUUGAAGCAGAAGCUGGCCUCUAUGCCCAAAGCUUAAGGCAUGGGUUACACUCAAGCUCCCCUAACAAAAUGUCUCCCACUUACAUCAAAGUGUAAGUGGCAUUGUCUCAAGCUUUGUUGUGCUUCUUUUAGGCUGUUGUUCAACUUUGGCCAUCUGGUAUUAUCACACUGAUCAUCACGUGUUAUCACACUGGCACUUCCUAUCAGAAUAAUUUUUUCUCUUGAUUUUUUGUCUGAUCACAUUUGAGUCCUCUUGCAAAGCACAGGCACUGGAGGUCUCUUUCCUCAAGAAAAGUGAAUUCUGUAGACUGGAAUCACCUGAGGCAACUUCAUGACUUGAGAAGGUAUGAACUGGGGGUUUUAGCAAGCUCUCCAUCCUUUGCAUCUCAAAGAUAGGUCCCUUCUUAACCUGUUGCAUUAAGUCAACAUUUUCAAGACUCUGCAGCUGUGCUGGAUUCACCUCAUAUGUACUUCCAAAGUCUUGGACUCCAUCAGAAGAGUGGGAACGGUGCUGUCCACAGUCUCUACUCCUCCUGUCAAAAGCCCCCUCAAAUGCCUUCUGCCCCAUCUCACAGACUUUGGUCUCACUGGAACAUGUUGCAACUUUUGGCUGAAGAAGCUUCUCUGCAUUUUGAGCACACUCUUCACCUUGAGAUCUAUCAGGACUACUUUCUGCAUUGUUUGUUUUUGGCAAACUUUCUGCAGGUGUUUUCUUUUUUCCUGUUCUUGCUUUUUUAACAGUCUUUUUCUUUCCAGUUUUACACUUACCUUUGCUUUUAACCUUUACAGGAACAAACUCAGGGACUUGGCUAUAGUUAGGGUCCGUUUCAACACCACACCCCAUUUCUUUUGUCUGUGGCUGCUCACAAAAGAUCUCUUUACCCACAGACUUGCUAGGAGAAAUAACAGCAGUUUGAGCAGGAGAAGCCAGGGGGCUGGGAGGUGGCAGCUGUUGCUGUGUGUUGUUCUUGCUGGAGCUGCUGUUGUCCUGUGCAGUACUACCCCGAGCUGCCUGAGUGGAACUGACAGGUGUGACGAUAUCCAGAGUGGAAGAUGGAGUGCUUGUAGCAAACAGGGUGGAGCGCUUUCUCCUCUGAGUAACACGCCCUUGUGAGAGACAAUCAAAUAAAUGUUUUGCCAUCUCAUCAGCCUCAUAUGAAAGAGUAUGACUUUCCAAUCCAAGCAUUGGCAAAUUGUUGGGAUUUUGUUCAGUGCUGCACAAGACCUCUGUUGGAAAGAAAAAAUUCACGUUUAAGGCUGAGAAAUGCAGCAGGCAAAUGCUAUCUUGCCCCAUACCAGUACAAACUUUGCUCCAUACGCUGACACAAAUUCAGAGCAUAGGAAAAGCAUGAUUUUGAGACAGGGACUCCCCCAGCUUACUGUGUACCAGAUUUGCUUAGCUGGCUUCUCUUUGAACAAAAGGGCAGCCCAAAUCAAGAUGCCCAACCCAGCUGUAAUAUUAGGAACACUUAUGCUCUGUACAAGAGUUAUUAUUUAUAUGGCAAAUCCACAAGAAACAGUGGCACACCUAGCCAGAUUCUGCACUUUCAGACAUCUCCAAAAGUCUUAUGUAAACUCAGUCCCUAUUACUCAAAAAGCCUGAUUUGUGAGUUUGAUCUACUGCAAACACACCACAUAUCCCUCUGAAGACUUUGAUUCUGGGAUAGACAUAACUCCAGCAAUAACAGCCCCAGUGGAGCAUGUAGUAAAUACCAGUCAUUAGGAGCUACUGGAGUUGUGGUUGAGAAUUAACUGGAGCUAUGGCAGUCAUGCCUUUCUGGAUACAGACACAAAGUCAUACCAGAAGAACAGAACGAGAUGCAAAUUUACCUCCAAAGAUGUGAGAGUCAUGAAAAGCCCCCUCUGUUGCCAUUGCUUCAGUCACCUUUUUGCCAUUAUCUUCCUGGUGGAACUGAGGCUUCUCAUUGUGCUGUGGUGGCAAAGUAUCUUUGGAGGCAACAGGCACAAUUUUCAGGGCCUCAUUAGAGGCAGGUCUCUGAAGUUCCCCUGCAUUAGAAACAGGUUUCUGAAGUUCUCCUGAGGAUGUCUGUACUGCUGUGGAGCUGCCAUCUUGCUGCUCUGCAUCAUGCAGCUUGGAAAUGGGCACUCUCAUUGGUAUCUGUGUAACCCUAGUGAGAAGGAGGAGCAGCAAUGGAUCAUGUUUCUCAUAUACAACAGGCCAGAAUCCAGCAGACUUAACUACAGGCCACAUGUGGGCACCUCCAAACACUGCCCUGUCUUCAAAGGGGAGACUACACAGAGAAGAAACAGGACUUCAAAUAUACUUUAAGAGAUCAUGCUCUGACCAUCUUUCCAGAAAGCUUACAUCAUACAAGCAGGUGACUAUUAAGCAUUUUUAUGUAACACACAUCAAAGUAGCCAGCUAUGGCACUCGCUCAAGCAAAUCUUGCUGUAUUCACCAGCUACAAAGAGAAAACUGCCUAAAAGGAACACAGUCUCAAAGAAAGGAGGUAAAAAGACCGGCUUUUGCACAGACUCAGCAUUAGGACAAACCAGAAAAGGAGUGGCAAUAAAAAGACAAUAAAGGAAAGCAUCAAGCAGCGGUGGUUCAGAGAAGCUAUCUCAUAUGAAACUGGCAACUAGGCACACACAUAGUGUGUUUAGCAUACAGACAUUCAGGACAAGCUUGGUGGUAUCAUUUCAAAGCCCACCUCAGAAGCUGACCAUCUACAAUAUCAUCAACCCAGCUAUGUUCAGUCAUGAUGCUCUUCUGGCCACUGGACAAUGAUGCAGAAUUUGUAUGGAACUGGAAAGAAGAAAAACAGGAGAGUGAUUUAAAGUUCUUGAAAUCCCUCAUGCAGCCUCCUGCACAGAAACAGUAGAAGCUCAGUUUCUCUAGAAAGUAUGUAAAGUAUUGCCAGCAACCCUCUCACGUUACAGAAUAAAUUAUGGAAUAAAUUGCA
This is a non-coding RNA of Lonchura striata (white-rumped munia), 4254 nucleotides long. NCBI's taxonomy places the organism in Eukaryota, Metazoa, Chordata, Aves, Passeriformes, Estrildidae. The record is from RefSeq and is a predicted model, not a curated record.